RNAcentral lists this transfer RNA (76 nucleotides) under Coriobacteriia bacterium. Its description in RNAcentral is "tRNA-Gly". It matches the Rfam family "tRNA". Rfam says of the family: Transfer RNA (tRNA) molecules are approximately 80 nucleotides in length. Their secondary structure includes four short double-helical elements and three loops (D, anti-codon, and T loops). RNAcentral also lists the same sequence under 1 other name. The record is from RNAcentral. Lineage: Bacteria; Bacillati; Actinomycetota; Coriobacteriia.
GCGGCAGUAGUUCAAUUGGUAGAGCAUCAGCCUUCCAAGCUGAUUGUUGCGGGUUCGAGUCCCGUCUGCCGCUCCA